UCGAGCUACUUGCCGCUCAGAUGGACGGUCGUCACCAUCGCCACCACCUGGGUCGUCGUCGAUCCAUUUAUUAGGCAAGAGAAACACACAAAAAUAAGAGCAAAUUGAGUAAAUUAAAUCGGCCAUAUAUACUUGUUUUCAUUCAUUUGUUCUUUGCAAGUGAUUGAGUGUAGUAAAAAUGUGAGGUUCUCGUGCUUUUUACAGAGUUUAUUGGAUUCUGAAAAAAGGCCAGCAAUUUCAUUACCA
RNAcentral lists this long non-coding RNA (246 nucleotides) under Erythranthe guttata (spotted monkey flower). RNAcentral describes it as "long non-coding RNA (EGUT_LNC001831)". Lineage: Eukaryota; Viridiplantae; Streptophyta; Magnoliopsida; Lamiales; Phrymaceae. The record is from RNAcentral.